This 497-nucleotide ribosomal RNA is filed under the name uncultured bacterium. Its description in RNAcentral is "partial 16S ribosomal RNA". It matches the Rfam family "Bacterial small subunit ribosomal RNA", at positions 28 to 507 of the family's 1533-position model. The record is from RNAcentral.
GACGAACGCUGGCGGCGUGCCUAAUACAUGCAAGUAGAACGCUGAAGCGAGGAGCUUGCUCUUCUUGGAUGAGUUGCGAACGGGUGAGUAACGCGUAGGUAACCUGCCUUGUAGCGGGGGAUAACUAUUGGAAACGAUAGCUAAUACCGCAUAACAAUGGAUGACACAUGUCAUUUAUUUGAAAGGGGCAAUUGCUCCACUACAAGAUGGACCUGCGUUGUAUUAGCUAGUAGGUGAGGUAAUGGCUCACCUAGGCGACGAUACAUAGCCGACCUGAGAGGGGGAUCGGCCACACUGGGACUGAGACACGGCCCAGACUACUACGGGAGGCAGCAGUAGGGAAUCUUCGGCAAUGGGGGCAACCCUGACCGAGCAACGCCGCGUGAGUGAAGAAGGUUUUCGGAUCGUAAAGCUCUGUUGUAAGUCAAGAACGGGUGUGAGAGUGGAAAGUUCACACUGUGACGGUAGCUUACCAGAAAGGGACGGCUAACUACGUG